UACGGAGGGAGCUAGCGUUGUUCGGAAUUACUGGGCGUAAAGCGCGCGUAGGCGGCCCUGUAAGUCCGUUGUGAAAGUCAAAGGCUCAACCUUUGAAAGCCGAUGGAUACUGCAGGGCUAGAGUCCGGAAGAGGCGAGUGGAAUUCCUGGUGUAGCGGUGGAAUGCGCAGAUAUCAGGAGGAACACCAAUAGCGAAGGCAGCUCGCUGGGACGGUACUGACGCUAAGGCGCGAAAGCGUGGGGAGCGAACAGG
This 253-nucleotide ribosomal RNA is filed under the name uncultured bacterium. RNAcentral describes it as "partial 16S ribosomal RNA". It matches the Rfam family "Bacterial small subunit ribosomal RNA", at positions 524 to 776 of the family's 1533-position model. The record is from RNAcentral.